GGCCACAGCCAUCUCACUCUGUAGCCCAAGACCAGUUACUCACUGAAGCUAAUCAGGGCUGAGCCUGGUCAGUACCUGGAUUAGAGACCACAUGGGAAAACUAGGUUGCUGUUGGAA
Molecule: ribosomal RNA, 117 nt
Filed under: Danio rerio (zebrafish)
Lineage: Eukaryota; Metazoa; Chordata; Actinopteri; Cypriniformes; Danionidae
Source: RNAcentral